GGUUAACGCUGGCGGCGUGCCUAACACAUGCAAGUCGAGCGGAAAUAUUCUGAAGAGUAAUCGGAAGGAUAUUUUAGCGGCGGACGGGUGAGUAACACGUGGGCAACCUGCCCUGUACAGGGGGAUAACACUGGGAAACUAGUGCUAAUACCGCAUGAUACGCGAAGAUGGCAUCAUUUUUGCGUCAAAGGAGAAAUCCGGUACAGGAUGGGCCCGCGUCCGAUUAGCUAGUUGGUGAGGUAAUGGCUCACCAAGGCGACGAUCGGUAGCCGGAUUGAGAGGUUGAACGGCCACAUUGGGACUGAGAUACGGCCCAGACUCCUACGGGAGGCAGCAGUUGGGAAUCUUAGGCAAUGGACGAAAGUCUGACCUAGCGACGCCGCGUGAGGGAAGAAGGCCUCGGUUGUAACCGUCUGUCUGGGGAGUGAGAACGGACGGUACCCCGGACGGAACGGACCCGGCCGUAACUACGUG
RNAcentral lists this ribosomal RNA (474 nucleotides) under uncultured bacterium. RNAcentral describes it as "bacterial SSU rRNA". It matches the Rfam family "Bacterial small subunit ribosomal RNA", at positions 28 to 507 of the family's 1533-position model. The record is from RNAcentral.